CACGAAGUGAGUGGCGAACGGGUGAGUAACACGUGGGUAACCUGCCCAGAAGUAGGGGAUAACACCUGGAAACAGAUGCUAAUACCGUAUAACAGAGAAAACCGCAUGGUUUUCUUUUAAAAGAUGGCUCUGCUAUCACUUCUGGAUGGACCCGCGGCGUAUUAGCUAGUUGGUGAGGUAAAGGCUCACCAAGGCAGUGAUACGUAGCCGACCUGAGAGGGUAAUCGGCCACAUUGGGACUGAGACACGGCCCAGACUCCUACGGGAGGCAGCAGUAGGGAAUCUUCCACAAUGGACGCAAGUCUGAUGGAGCAACGCCGCGUGAGUGAAGAAGGGUUUCGGCUCGUAAAGCUCUGUUGUUAAAGAAGAACGUGGGUAAGAGUAACUGUUUACCCAGUGACGGUAUUUAACCAGAAAGCCACGGCUAACUACGUGCCAGCAGCCGCGGUAAUACGUAGGUGGCAAGCGUUAUCCGGAUUUAUUGGGCGUAAAGCGAGCGCAGGCGGUCUUUUAAGUCUAAUGUGAAAGCCUUCGGCUCAACCGAAGAAGUGCAUUGGAAACUGGGAGACUUGAGUGCAGAAGAGGACAGUGGAACUCCAUGUGUAGCGGUGAAAUGCGUAGAUAUAUGGAAGAACACCAGUGGCGAAGGCGGCUGUCUGGUCUGCAACUGACGCUGAGGCUCGAAAGCAUGGGUAGCGAACAGGAUUAGAUACCCUGGUAGUCCAUGCCGUAAACGAUGAUUACUAAGUGUUGGAGGGUUUCCGCCCUUCAGUGCUGCAGCUAACGCAUUAAGUAAUCCGCCUGGGGAGUACGACCGCAAGGUUGAAACUCAAAAGAAUUGACGGGGGCCCGCACAAGCGGUGGAGCAUGUGGUUUAAUUCGAAGCUACGCGAAGAACCUUACCAGGUCUUGACAUCUUCUGGCAGUCUAAGAGAUUAGAGGUUCCCUUCGGGGACAGAAUGACAGGUGGUGCAUGGUGUCGUC
RNAcentral lists this ribosomal RNA (984 nucleotides) under Pediococcus pentosaceus. Its description in RNAcentral is "bacterial SSU rRNA". It matches the Rfam family "Bacterial small subunit ribosomal RNA", at positions 85 to 1056 of the family's 1533-position model. Lineage: Bacteria; Bacillati; Bacillota; Bacilli; Lactobacillales; Lactobacillaceae. The record is from RNAcentral.